AGAUUUGCCUCUAUAAAUGUCAAUGGACGUCGAGUUGAGAGGCACCACUUUAAAUUCUUGCUGAUGAUCAAUGAGACUGUUUUCCUAUCAACGUACAAACACCAGGUGCCCAGAACUGGAAUUCUGAAUCAUCAGGUAGUUCCAUCAUUCAGUUUGCUUCUCUUGAGGAGAUGCUAUGCUGUUGCCCAAAAUGGCUGUACCACUUUAUAGUCCCAGAUGUACAAGGGAAUGUACCUUUGAGAAAAGCUUUUUUUCCUGUUUUAUUAUUUUUAUUUUUUAAUUGCCACUGAGGUUAUUGCUGGGGAAUUCAAAGGUCAACUGAAAUGUCAACUGGUGUUGCACCAGGCUACAGUUGUACCUGCUUGUGUGAGGAAAGGCAUGUCUCAAGCUCAUCAGAAGCCUGGGUUGUAAACACAUCCAUCUAUGAUUAAUUAGAACAUGGAGAAACAAAGUCAUCUUAAUAGUUCAUAAAAAAAAAAUCCACCA
Molecule: long non-coding RNA, 486 nt
Organism: Erinaceus europaeus (western European hedgehog)
Lineage: Eukaryota; Metazoa; Chordata; Mammalia; Eulipotyphla; Erinaceidae
Exons: 2
Source: RefSeq, a predicted model, not a curated record